UGCGCAGCUACCAUGCAGUCGAGGGGUAUAGUUCUUCGGAACUAGAGACCGGCGCACGGGUGCGUAACGCGUAUGCAAUCUACCUUUUACAGAGGGAUAGCCCAGAGAAAUUUGGAUUAAUACCUCAUAGUAUAAUGACUCGGCAUCGAGAUAUUAUUAAAGUCACAACGGUAAAAGAUGAGCAUGCGUCCCAUUAGCUAGUUGGUAAGGUAACGGCUUACCAAGGCUACGAUGGGUAGGGGUCCUGAGAGGGAGAUCCCCCACACUGGUACUGAGACACGGACCAGACUCCUACGGGAGGCAGCAGUGAGGAAUAUUGGACAAUGGGCGCAAGCCUGAUCCAGCCAUGCCGCGUGCAGGAUGACGGUCCUAUGGAUUGUAAACUGCUUUUAUACGAGAAGAAACAACAUUACGUGUAAUGUCUUGACGGUAUCGUAAGAAUAAGGAUCGGCUAACUCCGUGCCAGCAGCCGCGGUAAUACGGAGGAUCCAAGCGUUAUCCGGAAUCAUUGGGUUUAAAGGGUCCGUAGGCGGUUUAAUAAGUCAGUGGUGAAAGCCCAUCGCUCAACGGUGGAACGGCCAUUGAUACUGUUAGACUUGAAUUAUUAGGAAGUAACUAGAAUAUGUAGUGUAGCGGUGAAAUGCUUAGAGAUUACAUGGAAUACCAAUUGCGAAGGCAGGUUACUACUAAUGGAUUGACGCUGAUGGACGAAAGCGUGGGUAGCGAACAGGAUUAGAUACCCUGGUAGUCCACGCCGUAAACGAUGGAUACUAGCUGUUGGGAGCAAUUUCAGUGGCUAAGCGAAAGUGAUAAGUAUCCCACCUGGGGAGUACGUUCGCAAGAAUGAACUCAG
Molecule: ribosomal RNA, 853 nt
Filed under: Flavobacteriales bacterium Control.24
Lineage: Bacteria; Pseudomonadati; Bacteroidota; Flavobacteriia; Flavobacteriales
Description: bacterial SSU rRNA
Rfam family: Bacterial small subunit ribosomal RNA
Source: RNAcentral